UACGUAGGGGGCAAGCGUUGUCCGGAAUUAUUGGGCGUAAAGAGCGCGUAGGCGGUCCUAUAAGUCGGCUGUGAAAGUCCAGGGCUCAACCUUGGAAAGCCGGCCGAUACUGUCGGACUAGAGUCCGGAAGAGGGAAGUGGAAUUCCCGGUGUAGCGGUGAAAUGCGCAGAUAUCGGGAGGAACACCAAUGGCGAAGGCAGCUUGCUGGGACGGUACUGACGCUGAGGCGCGAAAGCGUGGGGAGCAAACAGG
This 253-nucleotide ribosomal RNA is filed under the name uncultured bacterium. RNAcentral describes it as "partial 16S ribosomal RNA". It matches the Rfam family "Bacterial small subunit ribosomal RNA", at positions 524 to 776 of the family's 1533-position model. The record is from RNAcentral.